UAAACCUAGCUGGUAAAUACAGAGUAAACCCCCAGAUUAAUCUAUCGCCUCUUUCAUCGCCUGUUCUCCUUCUUGAACCUAUUUUACGAUGUAAUUAUUGUUUCAUACCCAACUCAUUCUUCAAUCAGAAUUGUUCCUCUGUUUUUUAUUGCAGGAUAAUCAAUAACAAAAUCAAAAAAGAAAUUUAAUAAUCCCGUAUUGUUGUAAAUACUCUUUUUGAUUUUGCUAUUUUUGGUGAAAUCAAACCUUAAUUUUUUUUUUUACAUCUUCAUCUAUGGCUAAAGUUCUUCCAUCGAGAUUAUUUGUUCUUCAGAUUACAUAGGACUAAUUGAAGAACUUGGGGUGGGUUAUAAUCUGAUAUAGAUCGAUAUGGAGAAAGUGAUCUAAACCCUGAAAUAUCAGUGAAGAGUAAUGCAUUUAAUCUUCAGGAACUUGCUGAUGAGUUAGAGCUAGAAGGUUGUCACGGAUGAGGGUGAUUACCGGUGCACCAAAUGCGAAAUAAAAGCUUCUGGUCCCAUGCCCAGGUUCUAUUCCAGCUUAAGGUUGGAGAUAAAACUGGAUGCAUUGUGUUCGUUGCUCUGGACAUAGAAGUCCAGAAAUCAUAAACCACGUAGCCACAGAGCUGUAAUUGUUGAAGAGGCAGUCCUGUCAUUUUCAUGAACUGAAGGGAUGCAAAAGCACAAGGCGCAGGCAGGCGACCACACGUUUCAGUGAGCUGAAGACAGGAGGCAAUGGAAGAUCACUGAACAAAGGGUAGAAAGCAAAUGACAUUUUUGUUGUUGUUGCAGGUGCUACGUUCAAGUAGGAAUGAAGCACUUGCAGAGGAUAAUUUGCAUUUGAAAGCAUUGGGCAUGGCGAACAUUUGCAGCCUAUAGAAAACUAAUUGAAAGUUUUGAAGAGAAUACUUUCACCCUUUACGAUGUUGUUCCUGAAAGUGACCUAUUUGGAUUGUAAAUGGAGUAGCAAAGUUGAUGAGGAUAAAGAUAUUGCGGUGAUACGGGAUUGUUAGCUUCGAUUUGUGUUCUAGAAUUGACCAUUGAACAUAGUUACUGCAUUGUUUGUUUGUUUUUUGAGAUUUUUUUUUUUUGUGGAUUUUUUUUUUUUUCAAUAUCCGAAUAUUCGUCAAAGUCAAAUUUAUAAUGUUG
Papaver somniferum (opium poppy) is the source of this 1145-nucleotide long non-coding RNA. RefSeq lists it as uncharacterized. The transcript is spliced from 5 exons. The record is from RefSeq and is a predicted model, not a curated record. Lineage: Eukaryota; Viridiplantae; Streptophyta; Magnoliopsida; Ranunculales; Papaveraceae.